ACCCUCUCAGGAUGGCACCUGGAGAGUUUCCAGUACUCCAUCAGUCUCGGCUAUAGGAGGGAGAAUCAAGGAGAGGCAUAUCCAUUCCAUUCCUAGCUUGGGCAGUGGCUAGCAAGUGGAAGGCAAUCUGCUACGUGU
This 138-nucleotide small nucleolar RNA is filed under the name Ornithorhynchus anatinus (platypus). The record is from RNAcentral. Lineage: Eukaryota; Metazoa; Chordata; Mammalia; Monotremata; Ornithorhynchidae.